GAGGAAAAGAAACCAACAGGGAUUGCCUCAGUAACGGCGAGUGAAGCGGCAAAAGCUCAAAUUUGAAAUCUAGCACUUUCAGUGUUCGAGUUGUAAUUUGAAGAAGGUAACUUUGGUUUUGGCUCUUGUCUAUGUUCCUUGGAACAGGACGUCACAGAGGGUGAGAAUCCCGUGCGAUGAGAUGCCCAAUUCCAUGUAAAGUGCUUUCGAAGAGUCGAGUUGUUUGGGAAUGCAGCUCUAAGUGGGUGGUAAAUUCCAUCUAAAGCUAAAUAUUGGCGAGAGACCGAUAGCGAACAAGUACAGUGAUGGAAAGAUGAAAAGAACUUUGAAAAGAGAGUGAAAAAGUACGUGAAAUUGUUGAAAGGGAAGGGCUUGAGAUCAGACUUGGUAUUUUGCGUUCCCUUCCUUUUUGGUUGGGUUCCUCGCAGUUUACUGGGCCAGCAUCGGUUUGGAUGGUAGGAUAAUGACAUUGGAAUGUAGCUUUACUUCGGUGAAGUGUUAUAGACUUUGUUGAUACUGCCUAUCUAGACCGAGGACUGCGUCUUUGACUAGGAUGCUGGCGUAAUGAUCUUAAGCCGCCCGCU
Molecule: ribosomal RNA, 584 nt
Filed under: Dujonia zeylanoides
Lineage: Eukaryota; Fungi; Ascomycota; Pichiomycetes; Serinales; Debaryomycetaceae
Description: eukaryotic LSU rRNA
Rfam family: Eukaryotic large subunit ribosomal RNA
Source: RNAcentral